This 272-nucleotide ribosomal RNA is filed under the name uncultured bacterium. RNAcentral's name for it is "partial 16S ribosomal RNA". The record is from RNAcentral.
CUGCUGCCUUCCGUAGGAGUUUGGACCGUGUCUCAGUUCCAAUGUGGGGACCUUCCUCUCAGAACCCCUACGCAUCGUCGGCUUGGUGGGCCGUUGCCCCACCAACUACCUAAUGCGCCGCAUGCCCAUCCAUGACCGGGGUCGCCCCCUUUGACCGGCAGGGGAUGUCCCCUCCCGGCAUUAUGUUGUAUUAGGCGGGAUUUCUCCCGGUUAUCCAUCUGUCACGGCCAGGUUGCAUACGUGUUACUCACCCGUGCGCCGGUCGCCGGCGG